AUACGUAGGUGGCGAGCGUUAUCCGGAUUUAUUGGGCGUAAAGCGUCCGCAGCCGGUUUUGUAAGUCUAGAAUAAAAGCCUGGGGCUCAACCCCAGUUCGUUUUAGAAACUGCAAGGCUAGAGUGUGGUAGAGGCAAAUGGAAUUUCUAGUGUAGCGGUAAAAUGCGUAGAUAUUAGAAGGAACACCAGUGGCGAAGGCGAUUUGCUGGGCCAUCACUGACGGUCAGGGACGAAAGCGUGGGGAGC
RNAcentral lists this ribosomal RNA (246 nucleotides) under uncultured bacterium. Its description in RNAcentral is "partial 16S ribosomal RNA". It matches the Rfam family "Bacterial small subunit ribosomal RNA", at positions 523 to 769 of the family's 1533-position model. The record is from RNAcentral.